UACAGAGGGUGCAAGCGUUGUUCGGAAUUACUGGGCGUAAAGCGCGUGUAGGUGGUGGCGUAAGUCGGAUGUGAAAUCCCUCGGCUUAACCGAGGAAGUGCAUCCGAUACUGUGUCACUUGAGUGUUGGAGGGGAUGGCGGAAUUCCCGGUGUAGAGGUGAAAUUCGUAGAUAUCGGGAGGAACACCUGUAGCGAAGGCGGCCAUCUGGACAACUACUGACACUGAGACGCGAAAGCGUGGGUAGCAAACAGG
RNAcentral lists this ribosomal RNA (253 nucleotides) under uncultured bacterium. RNAcentral describes it as "partial 16S ribosomal RNA". It matches the Rfam family "Bacterial small subunit ribosomal RNA", at positions 524 to 776 of the family's 1533-position model. The record is from RNAcentral.